GACGAACGCUGGCGGCGUGCCUAAUACAUGCAAGUCGAACGCAUUUUCUUUCACCGUAGCUUGCUACACCGAAAGAAAAUGAGUGGCGAACGGGUGAGUAACACGUGGGUAACCUGCCCAUCAGCGAGGGAUAACACUUGGAAACAGGUGCUAAUACCGCAUAAUUCCAUUUACCGCAUGGUAAAUGGAUGAAAGGCGCUUUUGCGUCACUGAUGGAUGGACCCGCGGUGCAUUAGCUAGUUGGUGGGGUAACGGCCUACCAAGGCUGCGAUGCAUAGCCGACCUGAGAGGGUGAUCGGCCACACUGGGACUGAGACACGGCCCAGACUCCUACGGGAGGCAGCAGUAGGGAAUCUUCGGCAAUGGACGCAAGUCUGACCGAGCAACGCCGCGUGAGUGAAGAAGGUUUUCGGAUCGUAAAACUCUGUUGUUAGAGAAGAACAAGGAUGAGAGUGGAAAGUUCAUCCCUUGACGGUAUCUAACCAGAAAGCCACGGCUAACUACGUG
RNAcentral lists this ribosomal RNA (507 nucleotides) under uncultured bacterium. Its description in RNAcentral is "partial 16S ribosomal RNA". It matches the Rfam family "Bacterial small subunit ribosomal RNA", at positions 28 to 507 of the family's 1533-position model. The record is from RNAcentral.